GACGAACGCUGGCGGCGUGCUUAACACAUGCAAGUCGAACGGAAAGGCCCCUUUGGGGGUACUCGAGUGGCGAACGGGUGAGUAACACGUGAGUAACCUGCCCUUGACUUCGGGAUAACUUCAGGAAACUGGGGCUAAUACCGGAUAGGAAUCCUUGCUGCAUGGUGGGGGUUGGAAAGCUUCGGCGGUUUUGGAUGGACUCGCGGCUUAUCAGCUUGUUGGUGGGGUAGUGGCUUACCAAGGCUUUGACGGGUAGCCGGCCUGAGAGGGCGACCGGCCACAUUGGGACUGCGAUACGGCCCAGACUCCUACGGGAGGCAGCAGUGGGGAAUAUUGCACAAUGGGCGGAAGCCUGAUGCAGCAACGCCGCGUGCGGGAUGACGGCCUUCGGGUUGUAAACCGCUUUCAGCAGGGGAGAAGCUUGUGGUGACGGUACCUGCAGAAGAAGCACCGGCUAACUACGUG
RNAcentral lists this ribosomal RNA (465 nucleotides) under uncultured bacterium. RNAcentral's name for it is "partial 16S ribosomal RNA". It matches the Rfam family "Bacterial small subunit ribosomal RNA", at positions 28 to 507 of the family's 1533-position model. The record is from RNAcentral.